UGUGACUCUCUUCCACCAUGGGAUUAUGGCUGGGUGCAGUGGCUCAUGCCUGUAAUCCCAGCACUUUGGGAGGCUGUGUCGAGGGGAUCAUCUGAGAUCAGGAGUUCGAGGCCAGCCUGGCCAACAUGGUUCUGCCUGCAGGGAAGAUUGUGACAUAUUGCUGGUCCCAACACCAACGUGAUGUUGCUCUUUUGCCUUGGUCCUGCCCACAAAAGACAUUGUGAUAUACUGGUGGGCCCAGCUUGAAGGUGAUGUGAUGUGAGCCUUCUACCUGGACCAACUCCCUGCCACCCAGGGGUAAUAUGACGAUUUGCUUGACCCAGUACCUAGGUGAUGUGACUCUUCCCUGCUGCUUGGCUCCUUCCCACAGGAGGAAUUGUGAUGUAUCACCGGGCCCAGCAUGCAGAUUCUGCCCACAAAGGAGAUUGUGACACAUCGCUGGACCCAACAUUAAGAUGAUGUUACACUUUUGUCUUGGCUCUGCCCUUAGAAAGCAUUGUGACAUAUUUAUGAUUCCAGCAUUAAGAUUAUGUGAACCUCCUGCUUGCACCUUUCCAAAAGGAGGCAUUAUGACACAUAUCUGGACCAAUUAACAAUUUGAUGAGAAGUGACUCUCUUUAUUUGCCUGGGCCCUACCUCAAAAGAAGAUUGUGACAUAGCACUGGAUUUAGCACCUAGGUGCUCUUAAUUUUUGCCUGUGACUUUCAUAUUUUGGGUAUUGUGACAUAUUCCUGAGCCCAACACCCAAGUGAUGAUGGGCUUUUACCUGGGCCCUGCCCACAGUAGUUCUUGUGACAUAUCCAGCACCUAGGAAAUGUGAUUCCCUUUUUCUUCCUGCACCCUGCCCAAAGGAAAGAUUGUGACACAUUGCGGGGCUCAGCAACCAGGUGGGACUGUGACAGCUUACAUUUGCAAUGAUGACUCUCAUACCUUGUCCAGCCAAUAAGAGUGAUACCAUCUAUCUGAGGUUAUGUGGCUCUCCUGUCUGUUCCCUGUCUACAUGGACUAUUGUGACAUAUUGCUGUGUCUAACACCAUGUAAUGUAACUCUCUCACUUGAGGCCUGCCUACAGGGAGCACUGUGAAAAAUCCCUGCGCCCAUCAUUCUGCCAUGACCACAGAUGGGAGACCAUAGCACCCUGAAGGUCACAGAGUGAAUUGCAACUCUCAUGCAUACUGUACAAAACCCUUGGAUAGCACUGUGUUUUUACAGAGGUCAGCACACAGGUGACAUUGUGACACUCACAUGCACGCCUAGAAGUCAGUAAAAAUUGUUAUCUUUCCAUGUACACACAGCCAACUCUUGAGAUUCUGAAUCUCACAUUAGGAGGCAGUUGAAAGUUUGAAAAUUGACUCUCAUAUGUAGAUUCAUUCCAGAGAGAGUUUGAUGAUUUUCAGACCAAGAUUCAGCACACCUGGAAGGCUGUGACUCCUUUGAGGGGGCAGAGUCUGCAGGAGACAUUGAGGCUGUCAUCCACAUAUCUAUCCCACAGUUCAGAUUGUGACUCAUGCACUUAUAUCCAACCUAUAGUAGGUGUUGACUCCCAUACCAAGAGCUGGGAAAUGUAUGAAAUUCCUAAUCUCACCCCUGGACCUUCCUUUGGUGUGAUUGUGACAUACACCUCCUCCAAGCGCCUGAGUAAUUUAACUCUCCUGCUUGAGUUUAGCUCGCAAAUGAGAUUGUGACAUAUUACUGGAUCCAGUACCUAUGUGAUGGGAUUUUAUUCUACUGCUUUGGUGUUGCCCACAGGGGACAUUCUGACGUAUCACUAGGCCCAGAAUUUUUUUGUGAUUAAACAAUGCUGCCUGU
Molecule: long non-coding RNA, 1809 nt
Organism: Pongo pygmaeus (Bornean orangutan)
Lineage: Eukaryota; Metazoa; Chordata; Mammalia; Primates; Hominidae
Exons: 8
Source: RefSeq, a predicted model, not a curated record